This 651-nucleotide ribosomal RNA is filed under the name uncultured Bacteroides sp. RNAcentral's name for it is "bacterial SSU rRNA". It matches the Rfam family "Bacterial small subunit ribosomal RNA", at positions 70 to 715 of the family's 1533-position model. Lineage: Bacteria; Pseudomonadati; Bacteroidota; Bacteroidia; Bacteroidales; Bacteroidaceae. The record is from RNAcentral.
CAUGAUUGAGCUUGCUUCAAUUGAUGGCGACCGGCGCACGGGUGAGUAACACGUAUCCCCCCUUCCGAUAACUCGGGGAUAGCCUUUCGAAAGAAAGAUUAAUACCCGAUAGUAUAGUAUUUCCGCAUGGUUUCACUAUUAAAGAAUUUCGGUUAUCGAUGGGGAUGCGUUCCAUUAGAUAGUUGGCGGGGUAACGGCCCACCAAGUCAACGAUGGAUAGGGGUUCUGAGAGGAAGGUCCCCCACAUUGGAACUGAGACACGGUCCAAACUCCUACGGGAGGCAGCAGUGAGGAAUAUUGGCCAAUGGACGAGAGUCUGAACCAGCCAAGUAGCGUGAAGGAUGACUGCCCUAUGGGUUGUAAACUUCUUUUAUAUGGGAAUAAAGUAUUCCACGUGUGGAAUUUUGUAUGUACCAUAUGAAUAAGGAUCGGCUAACUCCGUGCCAGCAGCCGCGGUAAUACGGAGGAUCCGAGCGUUAUCCGGAUUUAUUGGGUUUAAAGGGAGCGUAGGUGGAUUGUUAAGUCAGUUGUGAAAGUUUGCGGCUCAACCGUAAAAUUGCAGUUGAUACUGGGUGUCUUGAGUACAGUAGAGGCAGGCGGAAUUCGUGGUGUAGCGGUGAAAUGCUUAGAUAUCACGAAGAACUCCGAUUG